CCUACGGGCGGCAGCAGUGGGGGAUAUUGCACAAUGGGGGGAACCCUGAUGCAGCGACGCCGCGUGGGUGAAGGAGCGUUUCGGCGCGUAAAGCCCUAUCGGCAGGGAAGAAGAUGACGGUACCUGACCAAGAAGCCCCGGCUAACUACGUGCCAGCAGCCGCGGUAAUACGUAGGGGGCAAGCGUUAUCCGGAUUUACUGGGUGGAAAGGGGGCGCAGACGGCAAUGCAAGCCAGGAGUGAAAGCCCGGGGCCCAACCCCGGGACUGCUCUUGGAACUGCAUGGCUGGAGUACAGGAGGGGGAGGCGGAAUUCCUAGGGUAGCGGUGAAAUGCGUAGAUAUUAGGAGGAACACCGGUGGCGAAGGCGGCCUGCUGGACUGUGACUGACGUUGAGGCCCGAAGGCGUGGGGAGCAAACAGGAUUAGAUACCCCGUGUAGUC
This 441-nucleotide ribosomal RNA is filed under the name uncultured bacterium. Its description in RNAcentral is "partial 16S ribosomal RNA". It matches the Rfam family "Bacterial small subunit ribosomal RNA", at positions 338 to 795 of the family's 1533-position model. The record is from RNAcentral.